Molecule: long non-coding RNA, 678 nt
Filed under: Callithrix jacchus (white-tufted-ear marmoset)
Lineage: Eukaryota; Metazoa; Chordata; Mammalia; Primates; Cebidae
Description: lncRNA (ENSCJAG00000082932.1)
Source: RNAcentral
AUGGAGUUCCUGCUCACGCUGUGGCCACCAUCAUCGGCAAUUAACACAAAGCAAUGGGUACCUAACAUACAGACACCCCUUUCCAGAUCAUACACUUGUUAUCGCUCUUCUUUCUUUGUACUACUUCAAGACAGACAGGAGAUGAGUAAAAAUUCAUAACCAAGAAAGUGGUGCUGCUUUUGGCCGUCAUAUUCCAUACCUCCUAUUAUCUCAUUAUUGGUCCCCAAAUUUUUCUCUGCUUAUUUUUCUCCAGUACCCCUGAAAGUAGAAGAUAAAUGGACCAUAACCUUCAAACUGAAACUUCUUCCCACUAUACAGAGCCAUCCCCACCUAUAUAAAUAAUAAUGAACUGCAGCUGAAAACAUCGUAACAGUGUAGUAAAAGUGUACUUCUCAUUCUACACAGUAGUCUCACAUGGGAAGAAGGAAGAAGAGGAAAGGAAAUAAGGAGAAGGCAUAUGUGCCUUUUAAAAUCUCUGACCUAGAUGUGACACACUCAAAAUCCAUUGAUAACUGAUUAUUUGGCCAUACCCAAAUACAAGGGCUGGGAGAGGACUGGAGAUUAUAAUUCCUGAUUGGGUAGCAGCAUUACAGCAACAAAGGUACAGUAAAGAGUCUAUAAUGUAGAUUCCACACCAUGAACAGAAAAACAGAAUGUUGUUUAAAUGUUAACAUCAAU